Molecule: ribosomal RNA, 492 nt
Filed under: uncultured bacterium
Lineage: Bacteria
Description: partial 16S ribosomal RNA
Rfam family: Bacterial small subunit ribosomal RNA
Source: RNAcentral
AGUGAACGCUGGCGGUAGGCCUAACACAUGCAAGUCGAACGGCAGCACAGUAAGAGCUUGCUCUUACGGGUGGCGAGUGGCGGACGGGUGAGGAAUACAUCGGAAUCUACUUUUUCGUGGGGGAUAACGUAGGGAAACUUACGCUAAUACCGCAUACGACCUACGGGUGAAAGCAGGGGAUCUUCGGACCUUGCGCGAUUGAAUGAGCCGAUGUCGGAUUAGCUAGUUGGCGGGGUAAAGGCCCACCAAGGCGACGAUCCGUAGCUGGUCUGAGAGGAUGAUCAGCCACACUGGAACUGAGACACGGUCCAGACUCCUACUGGAGGCAGCAGUGGGGAAUAUUGGACAAAGGGCGCAAGCCUGAUCCAGCCAUACCGCGUGGGUGAAGAAGGCCUUCGGGUUGUAAAGCCCUUUUGUUGGGAAGGAAAAGCAGCAGGUUAAUACCCCGCUGUUCUGACGGUACCCAAAGAAUAAGCACCGGCUAACUUCGUG